UGGGGAAUUGUUCACAAUGGGCGCAAGCCUGAUGACGCAACGCCGCGUGGAGGAUGAAGGUCUUCGGAUUGUAAACUCCUGUUGCUCGGGACGAAAAGCCUCGACCUAAUACGUCGAGGUCUGACGGUACCGAGUGAGGAAGCCCCGGCUAACUCUGUGCCAGCAGCCGCGGUAAUACAGAGGGGGCAAGCGUUGUUCGGAAUUACUGGGCGUAAAGGGCGCGUAGGCGGCCUGCUAAGUCGAACGUGAAAUCCCCGAGCUCAACUCGGGAACUGCGUCCGAUACUGACAGGCUUGAAUCCGGGAGAGGGAUGCGGAAUUCCAGGUGUAGCGGUGAAAUGCGUAGAUAUCUGGAGGAACACCGGUGGCGAAGGCGGCAUCCUGGACCGGCAUUGACGCUGAGGCGCGAAAGCUAGGGGAGCAAACGGGAUUAGAUACCCCGGUAGUCCUAGCCCUAAACGAUGAAUGCUUGGUGUGGCGGGUAUCGAUCCCUGCCGUGCCGAAGCUAACGCAUUAAGCAUUCCGCCUGGGGAGUACGGUCGCAAGGCUGA
RNAcentral lists this ribosomal RNA (550 nucleotides) under uncultured Acidobacteriota bacterium. Its description in RNAcentral is "bacterial SSU rRNA". It matches the Rfam family "Bacterial small subunit ribosomal RNA", at positions 355 to 897 of the family's 1533-position model. The record is from RNAcentral. Lineage: Bacteria; Pseudomonadati; Acidobacteriota.